UGAAUAGAAUGCUGGUUGCUGGAACAUAAUCAACCCGAGGAGGAAAGUAGAUGAUGUCAUUGAUCAAGUUGAGACGUUCCCUCAAUUCUUUUUCAAUCUCAUGAAGCUUCUGGAUGUCUAGCUAGCAGCAAACCCGAACAUUAUUCAGGGGAACUUCAUCAUUGCCAAAAUCCAAUGGAGAUAUCCAUCUCUCCCUGUCACAGAAGGAGAAGCUUGGGAUUCAAUAAUCUCUUCUUU
This 237-nucleotide long non-coding RNA is filed under the name Glycine max (soybean). RNAcentral describes it as "long non-coding RNA (GMAX_LNC003865)". Lineage: Eukaryota; Viridiplantae; Streptophyta; Magnoliopsida; Fabales; Fabaceae. The record is from RNAcentral.